CGGGCCGAGAGGCGCUGCGACGGGGUUCCCCCGCCACGCUCGGCCCGCGGGACUUCGGACGAAGGGCGCCUCCUGGUU
RNAcentral lists this non-coding RNA (78 nucleotides) under Streptomyces sp. Its description in RNAcentral is "SAH sequence". It matches the Rfam family "SAH (S-adenosyl-L-homocysteine) riboswitch aptamer". The record is from RNAcentral. Lineage: Bacteria; Bacillati; Actinomycetota; Actinomycetes; Kitasatosporales; Streptomycetaceae.